UAAGACCCGCAAGAUACUAACCUGCAUCUCCUGAAUGCAACUCAGGUGCUUUAACUAAGCUAGAGCCUUC
This 70-nucleotide transfer RNA is filed under the name Nyctanassa violacea (yellow-crowned night heron). Its description in RNAcentral is "tRNA-Ala". The record is from RNAcentral. Lineage: Eukaryota; Metazoa; Chordata; Aves; Pelecaniformes; Ardeidae.